Molecule: ribosomal RNA, 1265 nt
Filed under: Luciola kagiana
Lineage: Eukaryota; Metazoa; Arthropoda; Insecta; Coleoptera; Lampyridae
Description: 16S ribosomal RNA
Source: RNAcentral
UUAUUUAUUUUAUUAUUAUUAUUAUUUUAUUAAAUUAUUAUUUUAUUUAUUAUUUUAAUUGAAAAAUUUGUUUUUAUUAUAGUUUAUUAGUAAAGUGAUUGAAUUUUUUUUUAUAUUUUUUAAAGAAGAAUUUAUUUUUUGUACCUUGUGUAUCAGGGUUUAUAAAUUAAAUAUUUUAUAUAAAAUUUUCUCGAAUUAAAAGGAUCUAAUUAAUUAUGUGUUUAAUUUUUUCAUAAAUUUUCAUAAUUUUUAAUUUGAAAUGAAAUGUUAUUCGUUUUUUAAUAUAUCUAGUUUUUUAAGAAAAGAAUUUAAUUCUCUUAUUAUUUAUUUAUUUUCUUAUUUUUAGUUAAUAAUUUUUAGUAUGAAAUAUUUAAAGGGAUGAGCUUUUAAUUAUAUUAUUAAAAAUUUUAUUUUUAUUUAUUUUUUGUAUAAUUUAUAUUGUUAAUCAUAUAAAUAAUUUAAUAGUUAAUUUUAUUUAAUUUAAGAUUUAUAUUUAUUUUAAUUUUUAUAUUAAAAAAUUUUGUUUAAUAUUUAUUCUUAUGUUAUAAUGAUUAAAUUAGUAGAUAAUUUUGUAAAUAUUUAUUUUUUUUAAGAUAAUAAAAAGGAAUUCGGCAAAUUUAUUUUUCGCCUGUUUAUUAAAAACAUGUCUUUUUGAUUAUAAUUUAAGGUUUAAUCUGCUCAAUGAUUAUUUAAAUUGCCGCAGUAUUUUGACUGUGCAAAGGUAGCAUAAUAAUUAGCUUUUUAAUUGAAAGCUGGAAUGAAUGAUUGGACGAGAAAAUUUCUGUCUCUUUAUUAAUUUUAUUUAAUUUUACUUUUAAGUUAAAAGGCUUAAAUUUUUUUAAAAGACGAGAAGACCCUAUAGAGUUUAAUUUAUUUAUAUUUAUAUUUUUGUUGGAAUUUUUAAAAUUUAUUUUACAAUAAAUUUAGUUGGGGUGACUAAAAGAUUAAUUUAACUCUUUUAAUUUAAAUCAAUUGUAUUUGAAUAUUAAAUCUAUAUUUUUAAGUUUAAUAUAAAUUACCUUAGGGAUAACAGCGUAAUUUUUUUUAAAAGUUCAUAUUAAAAGAAAAGUUUGCGACCUCGAUGUUGGAUUAAAAUUUAUUUUAGGUGUAGAAGCUUAAAUAUUAAGUCUGUUCGACUUUUAAAAUUUUACAUGAUCUGAGUUUAAACCGGUGUGAGCCAGGUUGGUUUCUAUCUUUAAUUUAUUAAUAUAUUUUAGUACGAAAGGACCAAAUAUAUAAUAUAUUAUUUUAUUUUGAAUAUUAUU